AAACAAGCUUGCCUAGCAUCACACAGCAGCAUAUGUUCAGCUGGGGCCACCGCCCCUUUUGGCUCAGCACAGGUGCAACGCAAAGGAGCUUUGCUUUUCCUGGGCUCAGGGAAAGUUGAAGGCAACCUGAGAAUAGGUGCUUCCUGGGGAACGGUGUUGAACCUAACCCCCUUCCUCCACUCUUUAAAAUCAGACAGGCUCUGUGCUGAAGACCGACACUGACAGCUUUCGGCCAGGAACUUAUCUUUCCCAGCAACAAAGAACAGGUGCCAGCCAUAGCAAUAGUUUCAGACCCGUGGAGUCAGCUGUGCUGUUGCCAACCUCCAUCACCUGUCCGCCUUUAUCCUGGGCUCUGUUCCUGUGGAUUUGAACAAAUAGAUGAGCGGCAUCGGAAGAAAGCUUUAGCUGCAUGUGUUUGGGUGACCACGAGAGGGCAGCACGUAAGAGACCAGUGUCGGCCCCGCUGCCUUCUUGAACACACCGGAAGCCUCCUAGGAAAACUGCAGAUUUUGUCAGACUGUGAAGUAGAAGAGUCAAAGAGCCUUCAUUGCUUCCUUUUAAAUG
This 564-nucleotide long non-coding RNA is filed under the name Homo sapiens (human). RNAcentral describes it as "non-protein coding lnc-SEC11C-2:1". Lineage: Eukaryota; Metazoa; Chordata; Mammalia; Primates; Hominidae. The record is from RNAcentral.